UACGGAGGGUGCAAGCGUUAUUCGGAAUCAUUGGGCGUAAAGAGCGUGUAGGCGGCUCGGUAAGUCCGCUGUGAAAGUCCAGGGCUCAACCCUGGAAUGCCGGUGGAAACUGUCGGGCUAGAGUCCGGAAGAGGCGAGGGGAAUUCCUGGUGUAGCGGUGAAAUGCGCAGAGAUCAGGAGGAACACCAAUGGCGAAGGCAGGUCGCUGGGACGGAACUGACGCUGAGGCGCGAAAGCGUGGGGAGCAAACAGG
Molecule: ribosomal RNA, 253 nt
Filed under: uncultured bacterium
Lineage: Bacteria
Description: partial 16S ribosomal RNA
Rfam family: Bacterial small subunit ribosomal RNA
Source: RNAcentral